GGAAACAGGUUAAUAUUCCUGUACUUGGUGUUACUGCGAAGGGGGGACGGAGAAGGCUAGGCUAGCCGGGCGACGGUUGUCCCGGUUUAAGCGUGUAGGGGGUGUGACCUGGUAAAUCCGGUUGCAUACUAACCCUGAGGCGUGAUGACGAUGCACUACGGUGCAGAAGUAGUUGAUGCCCUGCUUCCAGGAAAAUCCUCUAAGCUCCAGGUAACAUUAAAUCGUACCCCAAACCGACACAGGUGGUCAGGUAGAGA
This 257-nucleotide ribosomal RNA is filed under the name Serratia marcescens. RNAcentral describes it as "partial 23S ribosomal RNA". It matches the Rfam family "Bacterial large subunit ribosomal RNA", at positions 1421 to 1677 of the family's 2925-position model. Lineage: Bacteria; Pseudomonadati; Pseudomonadota; Gammaproteobacteria; Enterobacterales; Yersiniaceae. The record is from RNAcentral.